Molecule: ribosomal RNA, 305 nt
Filed under: uncultured bacterium
Lineage: Bacteria
Description: bacterial SSU rRNA
Rfam family: Bacterial small subunit ribosomal RNA
Source: RNAcentral
AGCAUCCUACGGGGGGCAGCAGUAGGGAAUUUUCGUCAAUGGGCGCAAGCCUGAACGAGCAAUGCCGCGUGAACGAGGAAGGUCUUCGGAUCGUAAAGUUCUGUUGAAGGGGAAAAAGAGCGGAGAGAGGAAAUGAACUCCGAUUGAUAUUACCCUUCGAGGAAGUCACGGCUAACUACGUGCCAGCAGCCGCGGUAAUACGUAGGUGGCGAGCGUUAUCUGGAAUGAUUGGGCGUAAAGGGUGCGUAGGCGGCCUGCUAAGUCUGGAGUGAAAGGCAGGGGCCCAACCCCUGGUCUGCUCUGGG